AGCGGUGUGGGCCGCCAUCUUGGGUAAGGGCAGCGACUGUGGCUGAGGCUGGGUACUGCUAGCUGAAUGGGGUUCGGCCACGCCUUACAUCUGUUGAGUUGACCCGCGUACCCCUGCCCUGGGCCCCAGGCUCCCUCGAAAACCCCUGCUGAUCUCCUCGCCCGGACUCCGACUCGUGGUGCAGGAGUUCUGGGGUCAGCCAAGACAACAGGUUAGGCAGGAAGGGCGGGCGGCCGCAGGCAAGGCUCAAAGAGGUUUCUUUUUUCUUCUUUCAUUCGCGUGGGCAACGGAUCCAACCUUUGAAAGCCCACCUGCUGAUCCUCCACCUGACCGGAGCCCGCCGUGCAUAGGCUGAUAGGAGACGUGCGGGGUGGACGGACUGCGGGACAUCUGAAGGAAGGGCUCAAGGCGCGCCAAGCUCAAAGCUGGGCCGCCACUCUAGACCGUGGAGGGAAGCGCCCGGGCCAGAUCAUCGGUCGAGGACAUGGGGUCGCCUCAGAGUGGGAAGGUGAGGGGCUCGGGAGGUGCCCUUACAAGCUCUGAAUCGUGGCUUGGUGGCUGGCCAGCCUCCUCCUGCCUCCCCGGCUAGGCCCUCGGGGUCCCCCGCUGCCGUGGGACCUCCUGAGUGGGGUCCCGGGAAUCACCAGAGAAGCACUGGAGGAUGUUUCCUUUUCGACUGCCCUCCUUUCAAGUGCCCUCCUGGCUGCCUGCCUUCAAGGCAGGAUGCGGGAACCGUUGGCUCUACUCAGUGCAAAAAGGACAUGUCUAUAGGGCUAAAAAGGGCUUGGAGCCCGGCGACAAGGGUUGGAGAGGGGCACAUCCUCUGCUCCCAUUCAGUGAAUUCAGUGGAUCAGUAUCACGUAUUUAUCUUUAAUUCACAUCACAGCAGUCAAGGAAGUGGGGAAAGGGGGAAAAAAAAUCAAGUGGCAGAUAUUUACAUCUAAAAUUCACAUUACUUGUUGGAUUUUGAACAUGCUACCACAAUAUAUACAGUAAAAUACCUCUUGGGACAAUGGUACAAAUUUUGUUUCCUUUAACUUUGCUUUUCUGGUACAGGUAAGAUCAUUUUUAAAUCACUUUUUUUCUUUAAACAUGAAUACACAAAAGAAAUGGUUAGAAGUUUCCUUGUUUUAAAUAAGCACAGAAUGCGGGAGGUUAAAAACACAUUUAUAGUGCUGAAUACCAAUUGGACAUCACACUCUAUACAUUUUUUGCUCAAAUUCCUGUACAAAUACACAGCAUUCAAAUAGGUAUUUACAAAUAAGCUUGAAAGAAUGAAAAUCAGUAUUUUACAAUCUUUUCAAAGGGUUCUCAUCUCUGGCCUCCCAUUUCCCCUCAGACUGACUUAUUCUCCAACAAAAGGGAUUUCAGAAUGUGUCCUUUUCAUUUAGUUAGGGAAAAUGGAGAGGGAAAACAAACGGUUUCACCUUGCAUAAUGCGAAGCCAAAUGAACCCAUACUCCCCUCCCUACCUCUUGUGCCACCAAGUGGAGAAGGUAGCUGUUCUUAUGUGAUGACUGCCUUGUCCAGGGAUUGACUUUCAGAAGUGCCUUAAAAUCUAAGCCCUCCUACCUAUGAAUCAAAUCCAAAACUAGCCCCUAACCCCUAACCCUCUAACACCUGUGAACACCAGAUGGUCCAGAGAUUGAAGCUUGCAAAUGAAUGUAGGCUGAGAAGCAGGCCAGCCCUUUGAGGUGAGGGCUGCUGUAACUGACCCAUAUCCUCAGCAGCCUUCCGCCCCACUCUGCCUGGAGUGAACCUGGUGGUAUCAGAAGGGACCCACACUGGUGAUAAACCCCCAGAAAAACCCUGGAGGUAAUUUAGACCUCCAUCUUUCCCAGUAGGUUAUUAGCAUUUCUGUUAAACAAGCUGGGGUUUGUUUACAAGAGAAAAACACACUGACCAUGGCCUUUACUGUCUGGAAAGAGGGGCAGUGGAGAAGGGACAAGGGGCUUGGGCCCAGGGCCUGGCUGUGGAGGUCAUACAGGCCAGCAGAAGAGGAACUGGGGGCAAUACGCCUGCCCAACAAGGCAGCCUUGUGACCAUCAUUAAUGUGAACUCGAGCAAAUAAAAGAAAAAAAAUAUUUUGUAGGCUUUUUUUAAAGUAACUUAAAAGCACCCUGGUAAAGUACUACUAUACCCACCUGACCCUAUCCCCCCAAAUAAUAAACUGAGAGGAAAAUCA
Molecule: long non-coding RNA, 2184 nt
Organism: Homo sapiens (human)
Lineage: Eukaryota; Metazoa; Chordata; Mammalia; Primates; Hominidae
Source: Ensembl